CACACACACACACACACACUAAAAUCCUGUGGGAGGCCUCUGGUUAGAGACUUGCAGAGCACAAUCCCUGCCUGGAAUGGAAGGUUUUGAGUACGAAUUGCCAUUUAAAACGACUGGACUGGACCUUCCUCUCUCAAAAUUGACAACGAGACCUACACCUUUAAACAAGCCUACAAAAAGAACAAAGGAAAUGAAAAUCUGCCCGCACAGGUCUAAACAGACUGAAAAUCCCCAAGGAUCUAUCUAGGUGAUAUGGUUAGAUUUCCUGAGGCCCCUAUGUGAACUGACUCAACCCUGGCUAUGUUGAUCUGAAAGAGAGGACCAUUUCCACCACUGACUGCUCAUGAUGCCACUGCUUUUCUGAGGAAUAAGAUUUUUCAGUCACAUAACUAAGGAGUGUUGGAGCUGAAAUACAAACCCAGCAGAACCAGUACACCUUAUGUUUUAGGUUGCUCUGUUCUUUUCUCUAUACAGGAUCACCUUUUGGGCAGACAGCCCUUUUUAGUGCACUAUUAUUGCCCUUUGAAGAAUCAUCCUUGUACAGUAACUGCUUCCGAAGCAUCCUGCCUUCACCGUACUCCAGUAGCCAUCCCCAGCCCUGAAGCCUAGAAGCAACCUCUCCAGACUGCUCACUCAGGGCUUUCCCAUUGCACAGCUGGCUGCGGGAAGCAGAACUUUAUCGUAACUGUCUAUUCUAGUCGGCAUAAAUGGACAAGCCUUGCAUCUGGACCAUCUCCAGGAAAUCCAUCCCAAACCCUGAAUGGUCCUGGCCCUGCUCCAAAACUGUACUAACCUCCCACAAAUUGUGAUUCCAGACACGUUUAUACCUUGACCCUCAGGAUAAUGGAAGCCACAAAAGAGGCAGAAAUUAAAAUGUCAGUCCAGCUGGGCCCACAAUGUGGGCCAGUGAUUACAAUAGAACCAAAUGUCUCUUGGGGCACCUGAGGGUAGCACGCUUGUGCUUUCCAUAGUAGGAACAGAACCAUCCAGAGAUAUUUCCUACAUGCUUAGCUACAGUAAUUAUGACGUGCUACUUAUCAACCAAGAUUUUAAUGAGCAAUUGGAAAAAAUAGACCAAGUACAAAACAAUUAUGAGAAUUCUGGUGACCUUUGUCACACGCCUUUCAUUGCCAUUUUAUGAAAACUAAACAUCCCAAAUUAUUGUUUGAUGGAGGCCGUAAGACAAGAUAGAGUAUUGUUAUUCUCUACCAAAACGAGUGAGGACCACUCAGAUCUUCCCAGUGGCCUCAGGUCCUGAAAGGCAAGCACUAUAUGAUGCCAUUGCAGAUGGAAAGAGUAUUCACAGCAAAGGGGACAGGCCUUAGAAUAAGGGAAACCAAGGACGUAGGGUGACAUAGGGUUCAAGCUAUGUAGACAUUGCCCAUCUCAGUUUUUCCUUCCAUCCUUAACAGCCCCAGCCAUUGGCAGGAGCCACUCAUUUUACCCAAGGCUGUCUGAUGUUCUUUGUGCCUCUGAAGGUGCAGAGUUAAGUGCUUCUGUGGCACAUCUGAGAGUCUUUGCUAGGCUAGGUCUGGAAGCAAGCACCCCACUUCUGGUGUGCAGAGAAGAAGAAGCGACCCCUUACCCCCACCCCAAACAGCUCUUCAGCAUGGAGAGGCAGUGGUCCAGUGAACAAAGAAAACCUGCCACCUCUCUCCCAGCAGCUCGCCUGUCCCCUUGUAUCUUCAUGCAGGAUGGACACACAAUGUUGUGACACACCUGCUGCCCACGGUUUUAUGGCUUUUGUGUUUGAGCUUUCUUCUUCACUAGACUAGAUGUUUUGUGAGGACAGUUUUCGCUAUCAUCCUAUCUUUAAUAUGAAAACUUUUGGGACAGAAUAAUCAACUCAAUGAUGUUCUAGUUACUAUCACAGCAACAGUGAAUUCUUAGUGGACAGUGGAUUCAUUGCCUGGGUUUGUUUGUUUGUUUAUUUAUUUAUUGGUGUUUUUUGUUUUGUUUUGAGACAUAGUUUCUCUAUGUAAC
Long non-coding RNA from Mus pahari (shrew mouse), 1983 nucleotides. RefSeq lists it as uncharacterized. NCBI's taxonomy places the organism in Eukaryota, Metazoa, Chordata, Mammalia, Rodentia, Muridae. The record is from RefSeq and is a predicted model, not a curated record. The transcript is spliced from 4 exons.